CUGCUCCACUGUGAAGCCUGAAGAGGCACAGUAACAUGUUGGUGAAGUUCGCGACGACCUAUUUGUCCUUUGAUCCAUCAUUACUGCCCUCAAAAAUAAGCCCACUCUGUCAGCCUCUACAAAAUAUUCCCAUGUGUUCCUGGGUACUGCUGAGCAAGACAUCUGGAAGCAAGCAUCCUUGUUUUUCAACCAUGAUAACAAUAGAGGAAUUAGAAAAAUUAUGUUAAAUGUUUCAUUUUUCUGAUGGGGAAAAGAU
This 256-nucleotide long non-coding RNA is filed under the name Chinchilla lanigera (long-tailed chinchilla). RNAcentral describes it as "lncRNA (ENSCLAG00000022761.1)". Lineage: Eukaryota; Metazoa; Chordata; Mammalia; Rodentia; Chinchillidae. The record is from RNAcentral.